UGACGUUCUCAGGGCGGGGUGAAAUUCCCCACCGGCGGUAAUUGCUCUUAUCGAGCAUCAGCCCGCGAGCGCCUUUUUCGAGAGUCGAAGAAGGGUCAGCAGAUCCGGUGUAAUUCCGGAGCCGACGGUUAGAGUCCGGAUGGAAGAGAACAAAG
Molecule: non-coding RNA, 155 nt
Filed under: Martelella mediterranea
Lineage: Bacteria; Pseudomonadati; Pseudomonadota; Alphaproteobacteria; Hyphomicrobiales; Aurantimonadaceae
Also listed under: 1 other name
Description: FMN sequence
Rfam family: FMN riboswitch aptamer (RFN element)
About the family: The RFN element is a highly conserved domain that is found frequently in the 5'-untranslated regions of prokaryotic mRNAs that encode for flavin mononucleotide (FMN) biosynthesis and transport proteins. This element is a metabolite-dependent riboswitch that directly binds FMN in the absence of proteins. In Bacillus subtilis, the riboswitch most likely controls gene expression by causing premature transcription termination within the 5' untranslated region of the ribDEAHT operon and precluding access to the ribosome-binding site of ypaA mRNA.
Source: RNAcentral